Molecule: transfer RNA, 85 nt
Filed under: Cohnella sp. CFH 77786
Lineage: Bacteria; Bacillati; Bacillota; Bacilli; Caryophanales; Paenibacillaceae
Description: tRNA-Tyr
Rfam family: tRNA
About the family: Transfer RNA (tRNA) molecules are approximately 80 nucleotides in length. Their secondary structure includes four short double-helical elements and three loops (D, anti-codon, and T loops).
Source: RNAcentral
GGAGGCUUAGCGAAGUGGCCAAACGCGGCAGACUGUAAAUCUGCUCCCCCUGGGUUCGGUGGUUCAAAUCCAUCAGCCUCCACCA